RNAcentral lists this non-coding RNA (46 nucleotides) under Schistosoma mansoni. Lineage: Eukaryota; Metazoa; Platyhelminthes; Trematoda; Strigeidida; Schistosomatidae. The record is from RNAcentral.
GAACUGCUGAAGAGUCCUAUAAUAGGACAAAAUGGAUGUCCAGUGC